AUUGUACUCCCUCCGUCCGGAAAUACUUGUCGGAGAAAUGCAUAAAAGUGGAUGUAUCUAGAACUAAAUUAUGUGUAGAUACAUCCAUUCCUCCGACAAGUAUUUCCGGACGGAGGGAGUACGAA
Molecule: non-coding RNA, 125 nt
Organism: Triticum aestivum (bread wheat)
Lineage: Eukaryota; Viridiplantae; Streptophyta; Magnoliopsida; Poales; Poaceae
Source: Rfam